CACGGGGGGAGCAAGCGUUGUUCGGAAUCACUGGGCGUAAAGGGCGUGUAGGCGGUCAGGUAAGUGGAAUGUGAAAGCCCUCGGCUCACCCGAGGAUCUGCAUUCCAAACUGCCUGGCUUGAGUAUGGGAGAGGAUGAGGGAAUUCCUGGUGUAGCGGUGAAAUGCGUAGAUAUCAGGAGGAACACCGGUGGCGAAGGCGCUCAUCUGGCCCAAUACUGACGCUGAGGUGCGAAAGCGUGGGGAGCAAACAGG
RNAcentral lists this ribosomal RNA (253 nucleotides) under uncultured bacterium. RNAcentral's name for it is "partial 16S ribosomal RNA". It matches the Rfam family "Bacterial small subunit ribosomal RNA", at positions 524 to 776 of the family's 1533-position model. The record is from RNAcentral.